The sequence is a ribosomal RNA, 393 nucleotides long. It matches the Rfam family "Eukaryotic large subunit ribosomal RNA", at positions 3004 to 3399 of the family's 3401-position model. The record is from Rfam.
AAUGUUGUUGCAAUAGUAAUUGAACUUAGUACGAGAGGAACCGUUCAUUCGGAUAAUUGGUAUUUGGGCCUGCCUGAGCAGGCAAUGGCCCGAAGCUAUCAUCCGUUGGGUUAUGGCUGAACGCCUCUAAGUCAGAACCCGUGCUAGAACGCGACGAUUACCGCCUUGUGCCAUUUUUAGUUGAAUACGAAUAGACCUACGGUCCUGAAUCAUACGAACGUGGGAUUAUCUUGCAGAGCGGAAAGGCUUUGUGAGGUUCCUGCUAAUGUUAAUUUCAAAUAUUGGAAGAGAUAAAUCCAUUGCAGACGACUUUAAUUGAACGGGGUAUUGUAAGCAGUAGAGUAGCCUUGUUGCUACGAUCUGCUGAGAUUAAGCCCAUUGUUCUAUAGAUUU